This is a long non-coding RNA of Vicia villosa (hairy vetch), 999 nucleotides long. RefSeq lists it as uncharacterized. Lineage: Eukaryota; Viridiplantae; Streptophyta; Magnoliopsida; Fabales; Fabaceae. The record is from RefSeq and is a predicted model, not a curated record. The transcript has 3 exons.
ACAUUGGGACGAUUCAGCUUCCUCUCUCAGUACUCUCUCUCGCGAAUAACAUCCAACGGCGGCCGGAAAUCGCCUUCGGCGGAAACCUUCCCUAAACCUCAAGUCGAACCCACAAUCAUCUCCGCCUUCUUACCCUAUCUUCGUUUUUUACUUCAGUUCUUCUAGAGACUCAUUCUCUCUCUCGAAUCUGAGCAAAUAACAAACCCUAGAUCUAAAUAGAAAUCAAAUUAAACGCUAACAAUCGCGAAUCAUGAAGCGAGGCCAUGGGGGAAGAGUUCGGGGAGCCUCAGACUACACUAUAGUGAAGAGCAAACGCGAAGAGGAUGAAGAGGCAGAGAAGAGUGUACUCACCUGGAUUUGAAGAACGUCUGUGAGAUGAAGAGAACACAGGGUGAUUCUGAGAGCUCCAAAAUGCGAAAUAAAUACAAGGCAAAUUGAACAAUCUUUCCCGGUUGUAGUGAGAGUCGAAGAUUGAUGAGGGUGAAACGAUGGUGUAUGGAAGCAUAGUGAUGAAGAGAUGGCAAAGAUUGAAGGGAAUGGCUCUGUAAAGUGGUUGCAGAGGUGAAAGUUGAAGUGAUGAUGAAUGAGAGAGGAAGAUGAUGAACUAGAAGAAUGACUGAAGAUGGAGGAUGAGUUAUAUAGAGGUUUCUCAAGGGCUGGUAGUAAAUAUAUGGUGCAGCAGGGUCACGAAAAAGAACUUCGAAGGAAGAGUCACGAAGAACUCGGAAACGGAUCGACUUAGAAAUAGGUUUAGGGACAGUUAUUGAUUGUUUGAACAGUUGGUUAAGAUGCUGGAAAUUAUUUACAGAACUGUUAUGUUAGUAAACAAUUAAGGGAGGUUAGUUGAGAAUAAUAUGGACUUUUGAAUGCACUGAAUGGAAUUGUCUUGGCUGGAAAUUUAUGGUGAAUGUGUGUGUUUAUAUUUCUUCUUUGUAUGCACUGGAUUGAUACAGGGUCUAGUGUAAUGUGUAAUGAUGGAUUUGUAAUAAGCGAUGAUGA